GACGAACGCUGGCGGCGUGCCUAAUACAUGCAAGUCGAGCGCGUGAAAUUCGCGGAUCUCUUCGGAGUGAUGCGGAUGGAUCGAGCGGCGGACGGGUGAGUAACACGUGGGCAACCUGCCCGUAAGACUGGGAUAACUUCGGGAAACCGAAGCUAAUACCGGAUAGGCUUUCGCACCGCAUGGUGCGAAAGGGAAGGUGCUUCUGGCAUCACUUACGGAUGGGCCCGCGGCGCAUUAGCUGGUUGGUGAGGUAACGGCUCACCAAGGCGACGAUGCGUAGCCGACCUGAGAGGGUGAUCGGCCACACUGGGACUGAGACACGGCCCAGACUCCUACGGGAGGCUG
Molecule: ribosomal RNA, 345 nt
Filed under: uncultured Bacillota bacterium
Lineage: Bacteria; Bacillati; Bacillota
Description: bacterial SSU rRNA
Rfam family: Bacterial small subunit ribosomal RNA
Source: RNAcentral